GACGAACGCUGGCGGCGUGCUUAACACAUGCAAGUCGAACGGAAAGGCCCUGCUUUUGUUGGGUGCUCGAGUGGCGAACGGGUGAGUAACACGUGAGUAACCUGCCCUUGACUUUGGGAUAACUUCAGGAAACUGGGGCUAAUACCGGAUAGGAGCUCCUGCUGCAUGGUGGGGGUUGGAAAGUUUCGGCGGUUGGGGAUGGACUCGCGGCUUAUCAGCUUGUUGGUGGGGUAGUGGCUUACCAAGGCUUUGACGGGUAGCCGGCCUGAGAGGGUGACCGGCCACAUUGGGACUGAGAUACGGCCCAGACUCCUACGGGAGGCAGCAGUGGGGAAUAUUGAACAAUGGGCGGAAGCCUGAUGCAGCAACGCCGCGUGCGGGAUGACGGCCUUCGGGUUGUAAACCGCUUUCGCCUGUGACGAAGCGGGAGUGACGGUAAUGGGUAAAGAAGCACCGGCUAACUACGUG
RNAcentral lists this ribosomal RNA (468 nucleotides) under uncultured bacterium. RNAcentral's name for it is "partial 16S ribosomal RNA". It matches the Rfam family "Bacterial small subunit ribosomal RNA", at positions 28 to 507 of the family's 1533-position model. The record is from RNAcentral.